This 562-nucleotide ribosomal RNA is filed under the name Salmonella enterica subsp. enterica serovar Mississippi. RNAcentral describes it as "partial 23S ribosomal RNA". It matches the Rfam family "Bacterial large subunit ribosomal RNA", at positions 1 to 591 of the family's 2925-position model. Lineage: Bacteria; Pseudomonadati; Pseudomonadota; Gammaproteobacteria; Enterobacterales; Enterobacteriaceae. The record is from RNAcentral.
GUUAAGCGACUAAGCGUACACGGUGGAUGCCCUGGCAGUCAGAGGCGAUGAAGGGCGUGCUAAUCUGCGAUAAGCGCCGGUAAGGUGAUAUGAACCGUUAUAACCGGCGAUACCCGAAUGGGGAAACCCAGUGUGAUUCGUCACACUAUCAUUAACUGAAUCCAUAGGUUAAUGAGGCGAACCGGGGGAACUGAAACAUCUAAGUACCCCGAGGAAAAGAAAUCAACCGAGAUUCCCCCAGUAGCGGCGAGCGAACGGGGAGGAGCCCAGAGCCUGAAUCAGCAUGUGUGUUAGUGGAAGCGUCUGGAAAGGCGCGCGAUACAGGGUGACAGCCCCGUACACAAAAGCGCAUGUGCUGUGAGCUCGAUGAGUAGGGCGGGACACGUGGUAUCCUGUCUGAAUAUGGGGGGACCAUCCUCCAAGGCUAAAUACUCCUGACUGACCGAUAGUGAACCAGUACCGUGAGGGAAAGGCGAAAAGAACCCCGGCGAGGGGAGUGAAAAAGAACCUGAAACCGUGUACGUACAAGCAGUGGGAGCCCCACCACCAAAGCAUUCUCUGG